GAAAACAGGGAGGAAGCUGAAGCAGAAAGAGUUCAGUUAGAGUCCCAGAACUGAAGGCUGAGGCAGGACUGACUGAAGUCCAGAAGAUGAUGAAGAGGAAGAGGAGGACAGAGGAAGAGGAGGACGGAGCAGAGUCCUCAGGAUCCAGCUGUCUGUCUAUGAAGAGUGACUGGUCCAAAAACCGUCCUCCAGACUUCAGUCCUGAACCUGGACCCUCAGACUCAAAAGAGAGGAAGAGGAGUCCUGUUCCUGUGGAGGAGCAGCCGUCCAGCUGUGG
Long non-coding RNA from Micropterus salmoides (largemouth bass), 277 nucleotides. RefSeq lists it as uncharacterized. The record is from RefSeq and is a predicted model, not a curated record. NCBI's taxonomy places the organism in Eukaryota, Metazoa, Chordata, Actinopteri, Centrarchiformes, Centrarchidae. The transcript has 3 exons.